This 254-nucleotide ribosomal RNA is filed under the name uncultured bacterium. RNAcentral's name for it is "partial 16S ribosomal RNA". It matches the Rfam family "Bacterial small subunit ribosomal RNA", at positions 524 to 776 of the family's 1533-position model. The record is from RNAcentral.
UACGUAGGGUGCGAGCGUUAAUCGGAAUUACUGGGCGUAAAGCGUGCGCAGGCGGUGAUGUAAGACCGAUGUGAAAUCCCCGGGCUUAACCUGGGAACUGCGUUUCUAACUGGCAGGCUUGAGUGUGGCAGAGGGGGGUGGAAUUCCACGUGUAGCAGUGAAAUGCGUAGAGAUGUGGAGGAACACCGAUGGCCGAAGGCAGCCCCCUGGGCUAACACUGACGCUCAUGCACGAAAGCGUGGGGAGCAAACAGG